AUUGAACGCUGGCGGCAUGAUUUACACAUGCAAGUCGAACGGUAACAGGCCGCAAGGUGCUGACGAGUGGCGAACGGGUGAGUAAUGCAUCGGAACGUGCCCAGUCGUGGGGGAUAACUACUCGAAAGAGUAGCUAAUACCGCAUACGAUCUAUGGAUGAAAGCGGGGGACCGUAAGGCCUCGCGCGAUUGGAUCGGCCGAUGUCAGAUUAGGUAGUUGGUGGGGUAAAGGCUCACCAAGCCAACGAUCUGUAGCUGGUCUGAGAGGACGACCAGCCACACUGGGACUGAGACACGGCCCAGACUCCUACGGGAGGCAGCAGUGGGGAAUUUUGGACAAUGGGCGCAAGCCUGAUCCAGCAAUGCCGCGUGCAGGAAGAAGGCCUUCGGGUUGUAAACUGCUUUUGUACGGAACGAAACGGCUCUGGUUAAUACCCGGGGCUAAUGACGGUACCGUAAGAAUAAGCACCGGCUAACUACGUG
This 482-nucleotide ribosomal RNA is filed under the name uncultured bacterium. Its description in RNAcentral is "partial 16S ribosomal RNA". It matches the Rfam family "Bacterial small subunit ribosomal RNA", at positions 30 to 507 of the family's 1533-position model. The record is from RNAcentral.